This 1020-nucleotide ribosomal RNA is filed under the name uncultured bacterium. RNAcentral's name for it is "bacterial SSU rRNA". It matches the Rfam family "Bacterial small subunit ribosomal RNA", at positions 56 to 1071 of the family's 1533-position model. The record is from RNAcentral.
UGCAGUCGAACGGCAGCGCGGGGCAACCUGGCGGCGAGUGGCGAACGGGUGAGUAAUAUAUCGGAACGUGCCCUGGAGUGGGGGAUAACGCAGCGAAAGUUGCGCUAAUACCGCAUACGAUCUAAGGAUGAAAGCGGGGGAUUCGCAAGAACCUCGUGCUCCUGGAGCGGCCGAUAUCUGAUUAGCUAGUUGGUGGGGUAAAGGCCUACCAAGGCAUCGAUCAGUAGCUGGUCUGAGAGGACGACCAGCCACACUGGAACUGAGACACGGUCCAGACUCCUACGGGAGGCAGCAGUGGGGAAUUUUGGACAAUGGGCGAAAGCCUGAUCCAGCAAUGCCGCGUGAGUGAAGAAGGCCUUCGGGUUGUAAAGCUCUUUUGUCAGGGAAGAAACGGUGAAGGCUAAUAUCCUUUGCUAAUGACGGUACCUGAAGAAUAAGCACCGGCUAACUACGUGCCAGCAGCCGCGGUAAUACGUAGGGUGCAAGCGUUAAUCGGAAUUACUGGGCGUAAAGCGUGCGCAGGCGGUUUUGUAAGUCUGUCGUGAAAUCCCCGGGCUCAACCUGGGAAUUGCGAUGGAGACUGCAAGGCUAGAAUCUGGCAGAGGGGGGUAGAAUUCCACGUGUAGCAGUGAAAUGCGUAGAGAUGUGGAGGAACACCGAUGGCGAAGGCAGCCCCCUGGGUCAAGAUUGACGCUCAUGCACGAAAGCGUGGGGAGCAAACAGGAUUAGAUACCCUGGUAGUCCACGCCCUAAACGAUGUCUACUAGUUGUCGGGUUUUAAUUAACUUGGUAACGCAGCUAACGCGUGAAGUAGACCGCCUGGGGAGUACGGUCGCAAGAUUAAAACUCAAAGGAAUUGACGGGGACCCGCACAAGCGGUGGAUGAUGUGGAUUAAUUCGAUGCAACGCGAAAAACCUUACCUACCCUUGACAUGUACGGAAGCCACGAGAGAUCGAGGCGUGCUCGAAAGANAGCCGUAACACNGGUGCUGCAUGGCUGUCGUCAGCUCGUGUCGUGAG